UCGCCCCGUUCCCCCCUCUCCGUCGCUCGUCCUCUUCUGUGCAACGCGCGCAGCCGCAGCCGUUGCCACGGCCUUGCCGUCCGCGUGGCCAACGUCGUCCCCGCGCUAAAUUAGCUUGUUCCCCGGCUCCCCCUUCGUCGUCUACAUCACCUGCGAGGACCAGCUCGAGCCCCCUCGCGCUGCAUCGCCUGGAUCGAGUCAUCUUCUACCUCCGGUCGCCACUCAUCGCUGCUUCGAUUUGUCGCCUCCAAGCCUUCCCCGAGCUUGCUUUGCACCUCUACAGGUUCGCGGUGAGCUCCUCGGCCAAUUCCCCUCGUUCCCAUCUUCGAUCCACUCCGUUAGGCUCCGUCCCGUGUUCGUCUGUGGCCGCCAUGGCCGGAGGCUGAGCUCUUGCGUACGUGUUCCGCUGCUCAUGCUGCUCCUAGUUGCUGUUGCGUGCUACUGCUAACUGCUACUAAUGCUGUUGCUAGCUGCAUCUUCCUUGCCCUGCCCGCUCCCUGCUCUUCGCUGCUUCUGCCGCCGCCGCAGCACUUGCCCCGCCACCUUAGCCGCCUGUCCGCGUUGCCGGCGCCUAACCGCGUCCGCCGCCGCUCCGACUGCGCCCAGGCCGGGCCCCGUCCCGCGCGUGGCCUCGCCUUCCCGCCGGCUGCUCCUGUUGUUGGCCAUGGCCGAGCGGCCAUGCGCGCAUGUGUGAGUGCGUUCUGUGUGGUGUGCGUGCGUGUGUGUUCUGGGUAUGAGGCCUAUCCAGAUUAGUUAGUACUACUAAUUAGAUUAGUUUAGGGCUGCUACUUUAUAUGUUAAUUAAAUAGCCUAUGGUUUUGUGACAGGUAGUCCCUCACACUAAAUAACCCAUUAGUUAAAAGGCCAGUCAAUGACAUCUAGGACCAACUGUUAGAUUAAUAUGCUUAAAUUAGAUUAAAAGAUCUAAGUCAAUGACACGCGGGACCCGCUUACACUAUUCAUAUGUUGACCAGUCAACCUUUGACUGGGUCAACCCAGCUCACUGGUCCCACCUGCAAGCCACUGUGGCUAGCCAUAGUUGGGUACACAUAGCAGUUUUGCUAUUGUUUUUGAAUUAUUAAUGAACUCGAGAAAAGCUUUAAAACUUUGAAAAAUCAUAGAAAAUAACCCGUAACUCGGAUGAAAAUACUUUGUACAUGAAAGUUGCUCAGAACGACGAGACGAAUCCGGAUACACAUCCCGUUUGUCCGCCACACAUACCUAGCAUAGCAAACACGCAACUUUUCCCCUCCGGUUCAUCUGUCCGAAAACGCGAAACACCGGGGAUACUUUCCCGGAAGUUCCCCCCCUUCGCCGGUAUCACCUAUCCAUGUGUUAGGCCACCCCUAGCACAACGUAUUGCCGCGUCUUGCUUUGUGUUACAUUUGAUUGCUCUGUUAUUUAUUGUGUUCCCCCUCCGUUACUUCUUUCCGGUAGGCUCUGAGACCGUUGCCGAUACCCCUGUGAUCGACUACAUUGACGACGACCCCUUCUUCUUGCCAGAGCAACCAGGCAAGCCCCCCCUUGAUCACCAGAUAUCGCCUAUUCCUUCCCUAUACUGCUUGCAUUAGAGUAGUGUAGCAUGUUACUGUUUUCGGUUAAUCCUAUACUGAUGCAUAGCCUGUCAUUGUUGCUACAGUUGUUACCCUUACCUGCUAUCCUACUGCUUAGUAUAGGAUGCUAGUGUUCCAUCAGUGGCCCUACACUCUUGUCCGUCUGCCAUGCUAUACUACUGGGCCGUGAUCACUUCGGGAGGUGAUCACGGGUAUAUACUAUAUACUUUAUAUACAUGACACAUGUGGUGACUAAAGUCGGGUCGGCUCGUUGAGUACCCGCAAGUGAUUCUGGUGACGGGGCUGAAAGGACAGGUGGCUCCAUUCCGGUAGAGGUGGGCCUGGGUUCCUGAUGGCCCCCGACUGUUACUUUAUGGCGGAGCGACAGGGCAGGUUGAGACCACCUAGGAGAGAGGUGGGCCUGGCCCUGGUCGGCGUUCGCGGAUACUUAACACGCUUAACGAGAUCUUGGUAUUUGAUCUGAGUCUAGCCAUUUGGUCUAUACGCACUAACCAACUAUGCGGGAAUAGUUAUGGGCACUCGACGUCGUGGUAUCAGCCGAAGCUCUUCUUGACGUCAGCGACGGAGCGGCGCGUGCCGGAUUGGACUGGAACGCCUGCUAGGCUAGGUCUGCUUCCGGCCGCGUACGCAACGUGCAGGUGUGCAAUGGGCAAUGGGCCCAGACCCCUGCGUGCAUAGGAAUUAGACCGGCGUGUUGACCUCUCUGUUGAGCCUAGGUGGGGCUGCGACGUGUUGAUCUUCCGCGGCCGGGCAUGACCCAGAAAAGUGUGUCCGGCCAAAUGGGAUUGAGCGUGUUGGGUUAUGUGGUGCACCCCUGCAGGGAAGUUUAUCUAUUCGAAUAGCCGUGUCCCUCGGUAAAAGGACGAUCCAGAGUUGUACCUUGACCUUAUGACAACUAGAACUGGAUACUUAAUAAAACACACCCUUCCAAGUGCCAGAUAUAACCCGGUGAUCGCUCUCUAACAGGGCGACGAGGAGGGGAUCGCCGGGUAGGAUUAUGCUAUGCGAUGCUACUUGGUGAACUUACCAUCUACUCUCUUCUACAUGCUGCAAGAUGGAGGUGGCCAGAAGCGUAGUCUUCGACAGGAUUAGCUAUCCCCCUCUUAUUCUGGCAUUCUGCAGUUCAGUCCACCGAUAUGACCCUUUACACAUAUACCCAUGCAUAUGUAGUGUAGCUCCUUGCUUGCGAGUACUUUGUAUGAGUACUCACGGUUGCUUUUCUCCCUCUUUUCCCCUUUCUAUACCUGGUUGUCGCAACCAGAUGCUGGAGUCUAGGAGCUAGAGACCCCGAGGAUGAUUCUACGUGGAGUUCGGCUUCGAGGAGUAGUUAGGAGGUCCCAGGCAGGAGGCCUUGCCUUUUCGAUUGUUGCUACUUUUGUGCUAGCCUUCUUAAGGCAAAUUUGUUUAACUGAUGUCUGUACUCAGAUAUUGUUGCUUCCGCUGACUCGUCUAUGAUCGAGCACUUGUAUUCGAGCCCUCGAGGCCCCUGGCUUGUAUUAUGAUGCUUGUAUGACUUAUUUAUGUUGUAGAGUUGUGUUGUGAUAUCUUCCCGUGA
RNAcentral lists this long non-coding RNA (3129 nucleotides) under Triticum aestivum (bread wheat). RNAcentral describes it as "long non-coding RNA (TAES_LNC023493)". The record is from RNAcentral. Lineage: Eukaryota; Viridiplantae; Streptophyta; Magnoliopsida; Poales; Poaceae.